RNAcentral lists this long non-coding RNA (1775 nucleotides) under Musa acuminata (dwarf banana). RNAcentral's name for it is "long non-coding RNA (MACU_LNC000195)". Lineage: Eukaryota; Viridiplantae; Streptophyta; Magnoliopsida; Zingiberales; Musaceae. The record is from RNAcentral.
GACGACUGGAUCUCCGUCGGUCUUCCCCCAACGAGAACGAGACGACGACUGGCUCUCGUCGUCGCCCGACCGCGGUGCCGAACGGUAAGCAUCUUUCGCAUCCCUUCCCCCGUUCUCUAUUUCUUUCAUAUUCGGUGAUCUUUUAGCCUCGACUGAUCUCGUUUGUCUCUCGUAUUGAUCUUUGUGUUCCCAUUUUGUUAUUUCCGGUCGACAAGAUGAGGUUUUUCUUUGAUUUUGAGGGUUUUCUACGAUUUCUACGUGAUUUCGGUUCUCUCGGACCCCUAAUGAAAUGGGUUACCGAAUAUGAGGAUGUUGUUGUGGUGAUUGAUCCCAAUUUCUUUUGGACUGCAUCAAAUUCAGUCAUUUACUACUUUGAAAAAAAUGUCAAGAAAAAAAAAUAUAUAUAUAAUUCUAAUUAUUCACUAAUAUUUUUAGAAGAUGCCAAGAAUGAUCAUAUCAAUAAUUUAUUACAAUUUUUACAUUGGUAUAUACGGAUGGUUGAUUUUUCGCUUUAUUAUAUUACCAUAUAUAUGGAGAUUAUACUUUUCCUCUUUUGUCUUUUGGAAUAUAAUUAUAUAUCACAAGACAUAUGGAGAUUUUUUGUAUUCCAUUAUCAUCUACGUUAGCAUUAUUAUGUUCGAAAGAUGUCAAGAAUGACCAUAUCAAUAAUUCAUUAUCAUUUGCACAAAUUACAGUGAAGUCGGUGGACUUCGGGAGCUACUAGGCGACGGACUAUCCUAGAACGGUGCUUCAUCUAGGUGUGACCCAAGAGUGGGUGGAUGAAGGUCGAUUGCCAAAGGAGCGAACAAAAUCGAAGGUGGAAGAGACCCUGCGAUGUAUUGGCAGAGGCCACAUAUUGAGGGUUCACAAUUCGAGUUCAUCUCAUAAGGAUCAAAAUGCAAUAGAGAUGACACCAGGAGGCGACAUGGUGCAGCGGAUCGUGGUGAAACAGUUCGUGACAAUGCGAUACACACGACAUAGUCCUGUGAGGGAUAAUGACAUAUUAAGAAAAAUACAUAUGUUUGAUUUCAUUUUAUUAUACUAUCAUUAUAUGUAAAUAUUUUUUUAUUUUUAUAAUUAGGAAAGAUCAUCAUAAAUUACAAGACAUAUUGAUAUCAAAUACUUUUUAUCGCUAUACCUUUUGUUAUUCAUCUACUACAUUAUGUCUAAUUUUUAUAUUCUACUACAUUGGUAUAUUAAGAAGAAUAUUGAUGGUUGAUUUUUUACUUUAUUAUAUUACCAUAUAUAUGGAGAUAAUACUUUUCCUCUAUUGUCUUAUGGAAUAUAAUUAUAUAUCACGAGACAUAUGGAGAUUUUUAUAUUCCGCCAUCAUCUACAUUAUCAUUAUUAUGUUUAAAAGAUGUCAAGAAUGACCAUAUCAAUAAUUUAUUAUCAUUUUCAUAAUGACAUAUUAAGAAAAAUGUAUAUGUUUGAUUUUAGUCUUAUUAUACUAUCAUGUAAAUAUUUUUUUAUUUUUAUAAUUAUGAAAUAUCAUCUUAAAUUACAAGACAUAUCAAAAUUUUUAUAUUACACUAUCAUAUACUUUAUUGCUAUACCUUUUGUCAGAAGUGACAUCAGAAAUGGAUGGUUGAUCAUACUGUAUGUAUGAAUAGCUUCAGGCAUGCCUGUCACACUUUUUACUACUCAAUAAUAACUCAGCAGCACACUCAAAAGUACGCCCUCCGCAAGCAUCUGAAGUAAAUCAUCAAAGACAGGCAUCCAGGUUGAUGGAUCUGAAAGAUGAUGUGAUGCAAUUUCAUCGAGCAAAGGGAAAA